This 1554-nucleotide ribosomal RNA is filed under the name Escherichia coli. Its description in RNAcentral is "bacterial SSU rRNA". It matches the Rfam family "Bacterial small subunit ribosomal RNA". Lineage: Bacteria; Pseudomonadati; Pseudomonadota; Gammaproteobacteria; Enterobacterales; Enterobacteriaceae. The record is from RNAcentral.
UUAAAUUGAAGAGUUUGAUCAUGGCUCAGAUUGAACGCUGGCGGCAGGCCUAACACAUGCAAGUCGAACGGUAACAGGAAGAAGCUUGCUUCUUUGCUGACGAGUGGCGGACGGGUGAGUAAUGUCUGGGAAACUGCCUGAUGGAGAGGGAUAACUACUGGAAACGGUAGCUAAUACCGCAUAACGUCGCAAGACCAAAGAGGGGGACCUUUGGGCCUCUUGCCAUCGGAUGUGCCCAGAUGGGAUUAGCUAGUAGGUGGGGUAACGGCUCACCUAGGCGACGAUCCCUAGCUGGUCUGAGAGGAUGACCAGCCACACUGGAACUGAGACACGGUCCAGACUCCUACGGGAGGCAGCAGUGGGGAAUAUUGCACAAUGGGCGCAAGCCUGAUGCAGCCAUGCCGCGUGUAUGAAGAAGGCCUUCGGGUUGUAAAGUACUUUCAGCGGGGAGGAAGGGAGUAAAGUUAAUACCUUUGCUCAUUGACGUUACCCGCAGAAGAAGCACCGGCUAACUCCGUGCCAGCAGCCGCGGUAAUACGGAGGGUGCAAGCGUUAAUCGGAAUUACUGGGCGUAAAGCGCACGCAGGCGGUUUGUUAAGUCAGAUGUGAAAUCCCCGGGCUCAACCUGGGAACUGCAUCUGAUACUGGCAAGCUUGAGUCUCGUAGAGGGGGGUAGAAUUCCAGGUGUAGCGGUGAAAUGCGUAGAGAUCUGGAGGAAUACCGGUGGCGAAGGCGGCCCCCUGGACGAAGACUGACGCUCAGGUGCGAAAGCGUGGGGAGCAAACAGGAUUAGAUACCCUGGUAGUCCACGCCGUAAACGAUGUCGACUUGGAGGUUGUGCCCUUGAGGCGUGGCUUCCGGAGCUAACGCGUUAAGUCGACCGCCUGGGGAGUACGGCCGCAAGGUUAAAACUCAAAUGAAUUGACGGGGGCCCGCACAAGCGGUGGAGCAUGUGGUUUAAUUCGAUGCAACGCGAAGAACCUUACCUGGUCUUGACAUCCACGGAAGUUUUCAGAGAUGAGAAUGUGCCUUCGGGAACCGUGAGACAGGUGCUGCAUGGCUGUCGUCAGCUCGUGUUGUGAAAUGUUGGGUUAAGUCCCGCAACGAGCGCAACCCUUAUCCUUUGUUGCCAGCGGUCCGGCCGGGAACUCAAAGGAGACUGCCAGUGAUAAACUGGAGGAAGGUGGGGAUGACGUCAAGUCAUCAUGGCCCUUACGACCAGGGCUACACACGUGCUACAAUGGCGCAUACAAAGAGAAGCGACCUCGCGAGAGCAAGCGGACCUCAUAAAGUGCGUCGUAGUCCGGAUUGGAGUCUGCAACUCGACUCCAUGAAGUCGGAAUCGCUAGUAAUCGUGGAUCAGAAUGCCACGGUGAAUACGUUCCCGGGCCUUGUACACACCGCCCGUCACACCAUGGGAGUGGGUUGCAAAAGAAGUAGGUAGCUUAACCUUCGGGAGGGCGCUUACCACUUUGUGAUUCAUGACUGGGGUGAAGUCGUAACAAGGUAACCGUAGGGGAACCUGCGGUUGGAUCACCUCCUUACCUUAAAGAA